RNAcentral lists this ribosomal RNA (497 nucleotides) under uncultured bacterium. Its description in RNAcentral is "partial 16S ribosomal RNA". It matches the Rfam family "Bacterial small subunit ribosomal RNA", at positions 28 to 507 of the family's 1533-position model. The record is from RNAcentral.
GAUGAACGCUGGCGGCGUGCCUAAUACAUGCAAGUCGAGCGAACAGACGAGGAGCUUGCUCCUCUGACGUUAGCGGCGGACGGGUGAGUAACACGUGGAUAACCUACCUAUAAGACUGGGAUAACUUCGGGAAACCGGAGCUAAUACCGGAUAAUAUAUUGAACCGCAUGGUUCAAUAGUGAAAGACGGUUUCGCUGUCACUUAUAGAUGGAUCCGCGCCGCAUUAGCUAGUUGGUAAGGUAACGGCUUACCAAGGCGACGAUGCGUAGCCGACCUGAGAGGGUGAUCGGCCACACUGGAACUGAGACACGGUCCAGACUCCUACGGGAGGCAGCAGUAGGGAAUCUUCCGCAAAGGGCGAAAGCCUGACGGAGCAACGCCGCGUGAGUGAUGAAGGUCUUCGGAUCGUAAAACUCUGUUAUUAGGGAAGAACAAAUGUGUAAGUAACUAUGCACGUCUUGACGGUACCUAAUCAGAAAGCCACGGCUAACUACGUG